GGAUGAGCCCGCGGCCUAUCAGCUUGUUGGUGAGGUAAUGGCUCACCAAGGCGACGACGGGUAGCCGGCCUGAGAGGGCGACCGGCCACACUGGGACUGAGACACGGCCCAGACUCCUACGGGAGGCAGCAGUGGGGAAUAUUGCACAAUGGGCGAAAGCCUGAUGCAGCGACGCCGCGUGAGGGAUGACGGCCUUCGGGUUGUAAACCUCUUUCAGCAGGGAAGAAGCGAAAGUGACGGUACCUGCAGAAGAAGCGCCGGCUAACUACGUGCCAGCAGCCGCGGCCG
Molecule: ribosomal RNA, 288 nt
Filed under: actinobacterium Dagang-10
Lineage: Bacteria; Bacillati; Actinomycetota; Actinomycetes
Also listed under: 3 other names
Description: partial 16S ribosomal RNA
Rfam family: Bacterial small subunit ribosomal RNA
Source: RNAcentral